Amblyraja radiata (thorny skate) is the source of this 2518-nucleotide RNA transcript. It is a transcript of the gene named solute carrier family 35 member C1, with no coding region annotated. The record is from RefSeq and is a predicted model, not a curated record. The transcript has 3 exons. Lineage: Eukaryota; Metazoa; Chordata; Chondrichthyes; Rajiformes; Rajidae.
GGAAGUGGAGCAGCGACGCCUGUUCCGCAUUCGCGGCGUGAGUGUGGAUUACAUCUGUUUAUUUAUGCAUUAAUUUGGUAUUUUGAUAAACGUGAUUUUGAUUGUUGCCGUUUAAUUCCAUAUGUAUUUUUUUUUGGUAAAUUGUCAGCAAUAAAAUCUUCUUGCAUGUCUUGCUGCGGUGGGCCAUGAACAUUACUUCCCUGAAGCGCUCCCACAUCCUCAAAAUGGCGAUGUCCAGCUCAGAGCAGGGCAGCUCCGAGCCGUUUGCAACCAAAGCGGUGAAGAUCACCUGCGUGGUGCUGGUGUACUGGUUCGUAUCGAUCACCAUGGUGUUUGUGAACAAGUAUCUGCUGGCCAGCCCGGUUCUGCAGCUGGACGCGCCGCUCUUUGUAACUUGCUUCCAGUGCAGUAUGACCGUGCUGCUUUGCUUCCUGCUCAACACUCUGGCCAUGCUCUGCCCCAACCUGGUGAAAUUCCCCUUCAUCGCCUUCGACAUCAAGGUCUCCAGGGAGGUUCUCCCACUCUCCAUCGUCUUCAUCGGGAUGAUCACUUUCAACAACCUGUGCCUCAAGUACGUCGGGGUGGCUUUCUACAACGUCGGCCGUUCCCUGACCACCGUCUUCAACGUCCUGCUCUCCUAUGUGAUGUUGAAGCAGACCACUUCCUUGCGAGCAAUACUAUGCUGUGGCAUCAUCGUAGGUGGUUUUUGCCUGGGAAUAAACCAAGAGGGUGCAGCAGGCAGUCUGUCCUGGUCAGGAGUCAUGUUUGGCGUAAUGGCCAGUUUGUGUGUGUCGCUGAAUGCCAUUUACACCAAGAAGGUUCUGCCGGCUGUAGACGGCAGCAUUUGGAAACUAACCUACUACAACAACAUCAAUGCCUGCAUACUGUUUGUUCCAUUAAUCGCAAUCACGGGGGAACUGAAAGUACUGUAUAACUUUGACAAGCUCGGCAGUCACAGCUUCUGGGCAAUCAUGGUUUUAGGAGGUGUGUUUGGGUUUGCCAUUGGAUACGUCACAGGACUACAGAUCAAAUUCACCAGCCCACUGACCCAUAACGUCUCUGGAACUGCCAAGGCCUGCACGCAAACCGUUCUGGCCGUGUCCUACUUUGAAGAGGCCAAGACCUUCCUCUGGUGGAUGAGUAACCUGCUGGUCCUCAUUGGGUCCUUUGCCUACACCUGGGUGAAAGGGCUGGAAAUGAAGAGAGUGCAGGAACAGACAUUAAACAAAAACCAAGAGAGGGAUGAAGCUAAGGUCUAAAAAGGGGAGUAUUUAAUUGGGCUGAAUGUACAGUGGAAGAUUGAUGGGGGAAAGGGGAACUUGAUAGUCGGAGAAUGGAAAUUGCCAAAUGGUUGAAACUGCCCAUUUUUUCUAGCUGCUUCUCCUGUUGGCAAGAUGAACAGCGCUGGAGUGCCCUUGUACAGCUCCAGGUUUAACCAUGUGCCCACUCAAGCCAAUGAGACCUCAACAUCAAUGAUGGAUAAACACAAGAGGCAGUGUGUGCUGAGUAUCCUCCACUGGUAAAUGGGUGAAAGCACUGGGGGUCACUCCUGUGACCCAUUGUUCAAUGUUCUCUGAGAUUCCUUGCUGUUAAUGGGGAAACGUCACACUCCGUACGUAUAGCCUGGGGAUUGGCUCUAGUUCCUGGACCAUCUGUCAACUACUUGAUCCUCUUGAUUUCCUCUGCCCCAUCCUGGUUAGUGUGACAAUUAGAUCAAUGUUUCCCAUACUUGCUGCGGUAAGGUCAAAAGAAAGAUUUUGGUGUGUGAUGCUUUCUUUGGGUUAGAAGUUUGUCUUUGGGCAUUGGUGCAAAGUGGUACAAUGAAUUUCUGAAUUUCAGUUCUCCAAAUAUAAUCAAAUUCCUGAAUGGGGAAACUACAGGUCCACUGCCGAUUUUUCGGCAACUGAUGGUCUGGCACCUCCUUUCAUCCGGGCAAAUUUACAAAAGCGUAGUUGAAAACCCCCUGGAAGUUCCCCGAAAAUGUGGCAUCUGGGUUGGGUUAGAUGGCCGAUCACGACCUCAUCGAGACAUCCGUGUUAAUCGGCGAGUCAAAUUUGUCCCCUGUGGCCGGGGCUUUGGCCAGCAGAUCCAUUCCUAUAGCCAACUUCCGACUUUACGGGCCGAUAUCUCGGCUCGUCGGCUGUCUAGGUGCACCAUCUGGCCAAACAGAUAAUUCAGAAAGGCUCUGGAUCUAAGGGUACUGGACCGGUGGUGGACCUGUCUGUUUAGUGGAAGUGAUAGUGGACAUAUUUCCAUCUUGUUUUGUGUAACAGUUUUUAAUUCCUUCAGGAUAAAGGAGAACUGAAAGGAUCUCUUGCAAGUUUAUCUUGCAAUAAUUUGAUAUGCUUAAAUCACUUUUAUAUAUUUUCACUAAAAUUAUAAACUUAUUGUGGUUACUUUGAAAAAUAGUGUUUCAUGAUUGGGGUUUUCAAUGCAAACGAUGCCAUGGGUCUGAGAAUGUUAAUCCAAAGUUUAAUGGUCUUUUGGUAAUUUGAAAAUAAAUUCUUUUACCACAAUU